CCUACGGGAGGCAGCAGUAGGGAAUCUUCGGCAAUGGGGGGAACCCUGACCGAGCAACGCCGCGUGAGUGAAGAAGGUUUUCGGAUCGUAAAGCUCUGUUGUCAGCCAAGAACAGGUAUGAGAGUGGAAAGUUCAUACUAUGACGGUAACUGACCAGAAAGGGACGGCUAACUACGUGCCAGCAGCCGCGGUAAU
This 195-nucleotide ribosomal RNA is filed under the name uncultured organism. RNAcentral's name for it is "partial 16S ribosomal RNA". It matches the Rfam family "Bacterial small subunit ribosomal RNA", at positions 338 to 524 of the family's 1533-position model. The record is from RNAcentral.